This 211-nucleotide ribosomal RNA is filed under the name Uncultured Balamuthia. RNAcentral's name for it is "partial 18S ribosomal RNA". It matches the Rfam family "Eukaryotic small subunit ribosomal RNA", at positions 97 to 278 of the family's 1831-position model. Lineage: Eukaryota; Discosea; Longamoebia; Balamuthiidae. The record is from RNAcentral.
CUCAUUAAAUCAGUUAUAGUUUAUUUGAUGGUUCCUUUUUUUUACUACUUGGAUAACCGUAGUAAUUCUAGAGCUAAUACAUGCCAAAAGUCUCGACUAGGGGUUUCGGCCCUUUGGAAGAGAUGUAUUUAUUAGAUAAAAAACCGAUGCAGGGUGGCUUGCUGCCCUGGACCCACCGGUGAUUCAUAAUAACUUUUCGAAUCGCACCAUG